AAAAAAAAAAAUUGAAUUUAAUUUUUUCCCUCCCUUUGACAGUUUACAAACCGACCCAUCAGUUCGAAGAAACUGUGCAUUAAGUGGCGUGAGGGAAACUGCCCAAAACCGUCAACUUUCUUCCUCUAUUUGAAUAGUCCUCAUACAACACAAAGAAUACACACGAUUUCCUGCAUACAUACAUUAUACAUCUCUUCUUCCUUGCAUCAGUCUGCAGAGAGUAUUUUCAUUCUUUCUGGUUCGUUGUCUUGCAGUCGAAGUGCUGCUUCUGCAAGUGUGAUCGUUGUAUCUUGGGAGACGCUUUACCACAUACCGUAAGCACCGUGUGACGGGGUAAAAACGUCUUAAGGACAGAGAGCAUAGUUCUCGCCUCGAUCAUCCCCUUUCCGAAUUCUGGACUUCUUUCUUUUCAUAAUUUUUCGAACAUAAUUUUCUGCUUUACUGUUUCUGCAAAUUAUUUACUGCUUUACUGUUUCUGCAAAUUAUUUUCUGCUUUACUGUUUCUGCAAAUCAUUCAUGGAAAAUCUGUUU
This 531-nucleotide long non-coding RNA is filed under the name Olea europaea (common olive). RNAcentral's name for it is "long non-coding RNA (OEUR_LNC007955)". The record is from RNAcentral. Lineage: Eukaryota; Viridiplantae; Streptophyta; Magnoliopsida; Lamiales; Oleaceae.